GAGUUUGAUCCUGGCUCAGGAUGAACGCUGGCGGCGUGCCUAACACAUGCAAGUCGAACGGAGUUACGAUGAAACCUAGUGAUUCGUAACUUAGUGGCGGACGGGUGAGUAACGCGUGGAUAACCUGCCUUACACUGGGGGAUAACACUUAGAAAUAGGUGCUAAUACCGCAUAAGCGCACAGAGCCGCAUGGCUCAGUGUGAAAAACUCCGGUGGUGUAAGAUGGAUCCGCGUCUGAUUAGCUGGUUGGCGGGGUAGAAGCCCACCAAGGCGACGAUCAGUAGCCGGCCUGAGAGGGUGAACGGCCACAUUGGGACUGAGACACGGCCCAAACUCCUACGGGAGGCAGCAGUGGGGAAUAUUGCACAAUGGGGGAAACCCUGAUGCAGCAACGCCGCGUGAGUGAAGAAGUCAUUCGUGAUGUAAAGCUCUAUCAGCAGGGAAGAAAAUGACGGUACCUGAGUAAGAAGCCCCGGCUAACUACGUGCCAGCAGCCGCGGUAAUACGUAGGGGGCAAGCGUUAUCCGGAUUUACUGGGUGUAAAGGGAGCGUAGACGGCCAGACAAGUCUGAAGUGAAAAUCCAGCGCUUAACGUUGGAAGUGCUUUGGAAACUGCCGGGCUAGAGUGCAGGAGGGGCAGGCGGAAUUCCUAGUGUAGCGGUGAAAUGCGUAGAUAUUAGGAGGAACACCAGUGGCGAAGGCGGCCUGCUGGACUGCAACUGACGUUGAGGCUCGAAGGCGUGGGGAGCAAACAGGAUUAGAUACCCUGGUAGUCCACGCGGUAAACGAUGAUUACUAGGUGUCGGGGGGCUAGAGCCCUUCGGUGCCGUCGCAAACGCAAUAAGUAAUCCACCUGGGGAGUACGUUCGCAAGAAUGAAACUCAAAGGAAUUGACGG
RNAcentral lists this ribosomal RNA (897 nucleotides) under uncultured bacterium. RNAcentral describes it as "bacterial SSU rRNA". It matches the Rfam family "Bacterial small subunit ribosomal RNA", at positions 9 to 916 of the family's 1533-position model. The record is from RNAcentral.